RNAcentral lists this ribosomal RNA (426 nucleotides) under uncultured Sphingobacteriales bacterium. Its description in RNAcentral is "bacterial SSU rRNA". It matches the Rfam family "Bacterial small subunit ribosomal RNA", at positions 954 to 1382 of the family's 1533-position model. Lineage: Bacteria; Pseudomonadati; Bacteroidota; Sphingobacteriia; Sphingobacteriales. The record is from RNAcentral.
AUGAUACGCGAGGAACCUUACCUGGGCUCAAAUGUAUGUUGACGUAUUCUGAAAGGGAUACUUCUUCGGACAAUAUACAAGGUGCUGCAUGGUUGUCGUCAGCUCGUGCCGUGAGGUGUCGGGUUAAGUCCCAUAACGAGCGCAACCCCUAUCAUUAGUUGCCAUCAGGUCAAGCUGGGGACUCUAAUGAAACUGCCUACGCAAGUAGUGAGGAAGGUGGGGAUGACGUCAAAUCAGCACGGCCCUUACGUCCAGGGCUACACACGUGCUACAAUGGCCGGUACAAAGGGCAGCUACCUGGUGACAGGAUGCUAAUCUCAAAAGCCGGUCUCAGUUCGGAUCGGGGUCUGCAACCCGACUCCGUGAAGCUGGAAUCGCUAGCAAUCGCGCAUCAGCCAUGGCGCGGUGAAUACGUUCCCGGGCCUU